Molecule: ribosomal RNA, 1110 nt
Filed under: Vibrio sp.
Lineage: Bacteria; Pseudomonadati; Pseudomonadota; Gammaproteobacteria; Vibrionales; Vibrionaceae
Description: bacterial SSU rRNA
Rfam family: Bacterial small subunit ribosomal RNA
Source: RNAcentral
CUACCUGCAGUCGAGCGGAACGAGUUAUCUGAACCUUCGGGGAACGAUAACGGCGUCGAGCGGCGGACGGGUGAGUAAUGCCUAGGAAAUUGCCCUGAUGUGGGGGAUAACCAUUGGAAACGAUGGCUAAUACCGCAUGAUGCCUACGGGCCAAAGAGGGGGACCUUCGGGCCUCUCGCGUCAGGAUAUGCCUAGGUGGGAUUAGCUAGUUGGUGAGGUAAGGGCUCACCAAGGCGACGAUCCCUAGCUGGUCUGAGAGGAUGAUCAGCCACACUGGAACUGAGACACGGUCCAGACUCCUACGGGAGGCAGCAGUGGGGAAUAUUGCACAAUGGGCGCAAGCCUGAUGCAGCCAUGCCGCGUGUAUGAAGAAGGCCUUCGGGUUGUAAAGUACUUUCAGUCGUGAGGAAGGUAGUGUAGUUAAUAGCUGCAUUAUUUGACGUUAGCGACAGAAGAAGCACCGGCUAACUCCGUGCCAGCAGCCGCGGUAAUACGGAGGGUGCGAGCGUUAAUCGGAAUUACUGGGCGUAAAGCGCAUGCAGGUGGUUUGUUAAGUCAGAUGUGAAAGCCCGGGGCUCAACCUCGGAAUAGCAUUUGAAACUGGCAGACUAGAGUACUGUAGAGGGGGGUAGAAUUUCAGGUGUAGCGGUGAAAUGCGUAGAGAUCUGAAGGAAUACCGGUGGCGAAGGCGGCCCCCUGGACAGAUACUGACACUCAGAUGCGAAAGCGUGGGGAGCAAACAGGAUUAGAUACCCUGGUAGUCCACGCCGUAAACGAUGUCUACUUGGAGGUUGUGGCCUUGAGCCGUGGCUUUCGGAGCUAACGCGUUAAGUAGACCGCCUGGGGAGUACGGUCGCAAGAUUAAAACUCAAAUGAAUUGACGGGGGCCCGCACAAGCGGUGGAGCAUGUGGUUUAAUUCGAUGCAACGCGAAGAACCUUACCUACUCUUGACAUCCAGAGAACUUUCCAGAGAUGGAUUGGUGCCUUCGGGAACUCUGAGACAGGUGCUGCAUGGCUGUCGUCAGCUCGUGUUGUGAAAUGUUGGGUUAAGUCCCGCAACGAGCGCAACCCUUAUCCUUGUUUGCCAGCGAGUAAUGUCGGGAACUCCA